Molecule: long non-coding RNA, 3337 nt
Filed under: Nicotiana tabacum (common tobacco)
Lineage: Eukaryota; Viridiplantae; Streptophyta; Magnoliopsida; Solanales; Solanaceae
Description: long non-coding RNA (NTAB_LNC019206)
Source: RNAcentral
UUAUUUUCAGGUUUCAUGCCGUCUCUUCGACAACUUUCAUGUGCUGCCUCCAAACUCUCCCUGUCAAACAGCAAAUGGAGUCUAAAAAGACAAAUCUAUGUGAAGAAUCUGGGUUUCCAUCUCCAAGCAGCCGGAAUUUGAGCAUCUACUCUGCCUUUUUUUAUUUCUAAUGGACGCUAAUUUGGGUUUGUUUUCUUUUCCAGUGCCCCAUUACAUGUUUCUCUUCCUUUUCGCUUAGUUUUCAAAGAAAUCCCAAAUAUGUUAUUUCUUUGUUUCUCCUAUUUCGGCCUUAGCUUUUGAGUUCGUGUCAAAGUUUUCCAUCUUGAUUCCAGUUUGUCGGUGUCUUCUAUGAUUUUUGAUUUCUAGUGAUUUUUAUUCCGAUUUUUUCUUUCUCAAUUUGGCUGAGUAUCUAAAAGUUUGUGCAUGCAUAUCAAAUUGUCAAUUGUUGCUAUGUUUUUUGAGGAUGAAUAGGUUUUGAAAUGCCUGUUAAGGAUGAAAUUGGUAGACAUGGAUAAAAAAAUGCAAAAUCUAUUUAGCAAAUAAAGAAACCAGAAGACUUACAUCGUUGGGUACCCUCUGUUCUCUUUGACCUAUGGUUCUGCACAAUUUGUUGUGUUUUUGUUUUAAGUUGUUUUAAUUUUUUCCUUGUGGUACAUUGCAGAAUUGUUAAAGCAACAAAAUAUUUGUUCAAGGAUGCUAACAGAAAUGCUCCUUGAAAAUGAGGUAACUCCCUCCUUUGCUGGAACUGCCUUGAAAAGAAAAAGUCCGAUCAGCACCAUGACAAGAAGAAGAUGGUAAAUUCUAUUGUGGAUGUUGUUAUAUAGUGCUCUACCCUUCUCAUGACAAGAAAAAAGACUCAUAUUUAUGUUGCUAGAUUAAAUAAUGAGAUCCUUCUGAAUGUUACAUAGCUAUGGCUCUUUGGAUCAACAUUUAUUUGAAUCUAGGACAAGCUAUUAUUACAAAUACAAGGUCGGAUAACUCAUUAUAUGAAUUGGUGUUUUUAGAACAUACCAUGCAGCACAACAAGAUUAUAGCAAAGUGUCAACUGGAUUAUUCAGCUAAUGUCAAAGUCAUGGAUAGAACAAAAAGGGGGCUUGUUAAAAGCCUGAAACUCAAUUCAGGAGCUCGGGGUAUGUACUUUUGUGGAAUUUAUAACUAGAUACGACACAACACUUAUAUCGGGCCUUGUAGUUUUAAAAUUGAAGGUUCUCUCAUUAGGAAGUGCCACAAAAUAAAAUGCUAUACAGAAUAUACCGACAUAGAGGAAGCAUCAUAAAUAACAUCCCAUAAAAUGCAAAGUUUAUUGUACAUGGAAAGAAAGAAAAUAUCCACUAAAAUUAUUGAGUGAUUUAUUGAAACCCAUAAUCCUCAUCUUCUUUGCUAACAUCUUCCAUGAUGACAACACUGUAGGUUCCACAACUUCGACUUUAUUCUUUUUGAUAAAUAAACUAAAUAUUUUUAUUUUAUGUGGUAACUGUGUCAAAUAUAUUUCUCGCAGGUUGAAGAGAGCCAGAAUCAACUUUUACUUUGAUAUUUUGUCCCAACAAAUUCUAUUUUGCGUUAUGGGUUAUAAAUUGCUGUUGUUUGGAUUAGAAUAGUGAAUGUGAUGUUAUAUUUUGUUCUUCCUUGUGUAGCUCAACAAUUCGGGACAAAAUAACUCCUCAUGUAUGGUUUACUGGUGAGACUGCUGAAGGGGAUUCAGUCUGAAAAUAUAAAAGAUGUUAUUGAAGAAGAUGAUGAUUAAGAAGAUGAAGAAGACGAGGAUGAAGAGGAGAUGAAGGAACAGAAGGUGAAAUUUAUUUUUCAUGCUUUUACAAAGUGAUUCAAUUUUUUCAUGUUAAUCUGUGCUGCGAUAUUCUAGUGAAUGAGGGUUCUUAGAUUUUUACAAAUUAAAGUUGAUGUCUGUCCUUUCUCAGCUACUACAUUUCUACUAUAUAGAUGCAUGAAAAAAGAUUCUUUGUUCGACGUGUGUGCUUUUAGGUCAUUCUAUAUUUAUCGAUCGCAAUUUAGUCAAUUUACAUAUUAGCUGAUGUAUACAUUUCUUGGUGGCUUUCGUGCCUACAGCUAGCACAUAGCCACCGCAAAGCUUCCUCCAUUCUACUUUUCCGGUUCCAUUCCAUUCCUUUUCGAGAUAAUUUCUGUCUUUUCAGAUUACUCUUUCAAUUUUCAGGUAAGCUACUCCUCCUAUUCUUAGCCAAAUCUUCUUUUUUACUUCAAUUUACAUGUAUGUAUGAUGUUCUGUCAUCUGAAUUUUUUAGAGUUUUUCUUUCUUUGAUUUUUUCAAUCUGAUCUUAGUAUCUGGGAUAAGAAAGUAGACAUAUCUCUCACUGGAAAAAUGGUGGAAUUCCUGACUUUUUUCUUUUUGGUUUCCUCCUAUACAUUGGAUGCUCAAUACAUUGUAUAUAGGCACGUUUUUUCUCAGAUUAUGUGCAAUAUUUUGCUGCAUACUCGAAAUUUCACUUUCAUUCCCAUCUAUCUAUUGUAGGAUAAAUUGAACCAGCAAAGAAUUUAGUAGCUGACUCUCCUUUUUCCGCUCCAUUUGUAAGUUCUACAUGAAAUGGCUAUUUACUUUUAUAUUGAAUUAAUUUUAAAGGCAAGAGACUUAAAGUUGUGAUUUUGAUGAAUAGGUAAAAUCGUAUUUGUCUAUUGAGGUAGCAGAUACUUCGGCUUGAUUCAAUGGUGUAUCAAUAUUAUUCUUGCUUAAAUUUUCUAAAAGCGACUUAGUGUCCACUGGUUAGCCUUUUUCACUACGAAUGGGUUUGCUGAAGUUUCCUUGGUUGAAUGCGAUAAUGGAUAACAUAUCGUUAAACCAACUUUAAUAUAAGUAAUAAUUUACUUGCAAAUGAUUUUAUUAUGUCCGAUUUGAACCCUGAAGAUCAAUUCUAUUCUUUUCAGGUGGUUUUGAUAGAACUACAUGUAUGUAUGUAUGUCAUAUUAUCUUUGUCCAUGUUGAUGUACUUAUUUGUUCAUAAAUUUUAGGUUGUCUAUCCUUGAUGUUUUAUUAUGCACUUAAUAUUAGGAGUGACUUAACGCUGAAGUGGUCGGGCAACCCAAACAUCGUGUUAGGUAUUGGAAACAAGCUACAGACUUUCGCUUAAUUCUCAAGUUUAUGUAUCGCAAUGUGUCUCUUCUUAGCUGCUCUGUGUAUUCUGAACAUUAAUGGUAACUCAUGUUCUCUCCUAAAUGAGCUAAAACAACAGAAAUCAGCAGAAUUACUUUUUUGGUGAUUGGAUCUAUGAAGAUAUAUGGAUAAAAAAGCUGUAGAGCAACUGAAAACAUAUAAUACUAAUGGUUCUACAAAUGAGAUUCAAGUGUGUAAGAGAAACAAAGGACCAAC